UUUUUUUCAUAUCGGUUGGGAAAUUCUAAGGUAGAAGCCCAUCCACAUGAACUCGCAUACUGGCAGCUGAUUGAGUGAUGAUGUCUAGUGCUUUUUCCAGUGCUAAUAAUGGUAUUUUCAAUCUAUAGACUUUAGACCAAGGGCAUUAGCGUAUCCCUCCUUCGUCCUUCUGUUUUUUAAAAAAAAAAUAAAUCAAAAAGAAAAAAAAAAAAGGUGGGUCGACAAC
This 226-nucleotide long non-coding RNA is filed under the name Capsella rubella. RNAcentral's name for it is "long non-coding RNA (CRUB_LNC003206)". Lineage: Eukaryota; Viridiplantae; Streptophyta; Magnoliopsida; Brassicales; Brassicaceae. The record is from RNAcentral.